This 27-nucleotide non-coding RNA is filed under the name Homo sapiens (human). The record is from RNAcentral. Lineage: Eukaryota; Metazoa; Chordata; Mammalia; Primates; Hominidae.
UGGUGGCUCCAGUGACAUGGCAGUGGC